CUACAUUGAACUCAGGUUUCGUUAGCAACGGGCUGUGAUGAUUAAAAGAACAAGUUCGUUGUCGACGAAACCUGCAUGCUAUGUGG
RNAcentral lists this microRNA precursor (86 nucleotides) under Drosophila mojavensis. RNAcentral's name for it is "mir-981 microRNA precursor family". It matches the Rfam family "mir-981 microRNA precursor family". Lineage: Eukaryota; Metazoa; Arthropoda; Insecta; Diptera; Drosophilidae. The record is from Rfam by way of RNAcentral.